GUAUAGGGGGUGAAUUCUGCCCAAUGGUUGUAUAGUGAAACCGAGGAUUAACGUCCGAGGCUAAGCCCAAUUGAAUGGCCGCGGUAUACCUGACCGUGAUAAUGUAGCACAAUAAAUAGCCAAUUAAUUGUUGGCGGGUAUGAAUGGAAUCACGAGGGUCUUACUGUCUCAAGAGGAAAGCCGAUGAAAUUAUAGUUGUAGUGAAGAUACUACAUAGACAUUGUAAGACGAAAAGACCCUAUCGAGCUUUACUGGACACCGACAGUGUUGGCGCGAAAUAACCCGCCCUCUGGGCUAUCGUUUUGAGCUUAACUAUUAGUCGGUCGGACAGUUUAGUUGGGGCGACUACCUUUGAAUAAGAAACGAAGGCGAGCUUAUGGUGUACAGCUAAUCCCAUUAGCCUGACAGUGAGGGGGACACCCCGAGCUGGCACCCCUCCGGGGGGUGGGCGAUAAUGACCCGAUACUAGGACUCCAAAGUCAGUAUCGAAAGCGGACAAAAGCUACCGUAGGGAUAACAGCGUAAUAUCAUUGGAGAGUUCUUAUUGAGGAUGGUGUUUGCGACCUCGAUGUUGAAUUGCGGUGCCCUGGUGCUGUAGAAGGUACCUUGGGUUGGUC
RNAcentral lists this ribosomal RNA (617 nucleotides) under Tenerodus pollex. RNAcentral describes it as "partial 16S ribosomal RNA". It matches the Rfam family "Bacterial large subunit ribosomal RNA", at positions 1843 to 2577 of the family's 2925-position model. The record is from RNAcentral. Lineage: Eukaryota; Metazoa; Cnidaria; Anthozoa; Malacalcyonacea; Leptophytidae.